Molecule: ribosomal RNA, 229 nt
Filed under: uncultured bacterium
Lineage: Bacteria
Description: partial 16S ribosomal RNA
Rfam family: Bacterial small subunit ribosomal RNA
Source: RNAcentral
UGGGACUGAGACACGGCCCAGACUCCUACGGGAGGCAGCAGUAGGGAAUCUUCCGCAAUGGACGAAAGUCUGACGGAGCAACGCCGCGUGAGCGAUGAAGGCCUUCGGGUCGUAAAGCUCUGUUGUUAGGGAAGAACAAGUAUCGGAGUAACUGCCGGUACCUUGACGGUACCUAACCAGAAAGCCACGGCUAACUACGUGCCAGCAGCCGCGGUAAUACGUAGGUGGC